AAAAAGUCAAUAAUAAACCACAACACCAAUAUAAAGAUUUAAACUUUAGAUAAUCUCUCGUGUGAAUUUUCAUUUCAGAAAAAAGAGCUCCUCCCCGGCUGACCCGGGUCGACUUUCGAGUCAUACACGAGAGGUACCGCAGGCUCUGGGCGCUACAGCCCCCGCCGGGCGAAGGUGACCGGCGGGCGGUCAAGGCCCAUGUCCGGGAGGAGCUCGCAAAUGGGCGUGUCCCAGUAAGUAUUUCUCCAGGGUUUUUUUUUUUCCCCCCCAGCAAAAGUAAGUACCUAUGCAGUAGUAGCACCCAGAUUUUCAGCAUAAUGGUAUUUUGCAUUGCAUUGCUGUUUUGAUGCAGUUUUCUGUCUUCAUUUAUGUUGGAAGUGAUAAGUAGAGCCGUACGUUUUAAUUUUUUUCAGAAAUCUCUCAGACCGUGGUAUAUCAUGUUUAGGUGGAAACUAGUGAGCUAACUUCACGAAGCUCUUGACUACUUAAGUAUUCUUUUUAAGAUUCAAGAUUAAGAAUCUUGAAUCCUCACCCUUCUUGAGCUUCUCGAGUGAUGUUGCGAUCACUUGGUAUACAGUGGCUUGCAAAAGUAUUCGGCCCCCUUGAAC
Molecule: long non-coding RNA, 608 nt
Organism: Oreochromis aureus
Lineage: Eukaryota; Metazoa; Chordata; Actinopteri; Cichliformes; Cichlidae
Source: Ensembl